RNAcentral lists this long non-coding RNA (221 nucleotides) under Capsicum annuum. Its description in RNAcentral is "long non-coding RNA (CANN_LNC017820)". The record is from RNAcentral. Lineage: Eukaryota; Viridiplantae; Streptophyta; Magnoliopsida; Solanales; Solanaceae.
UUCAUUCAUACCAAUUGAACCCAAUAAGGUUGAACAAUGAUUUACCCCCUGAGAAAUCUUCUAACGUAUGGUAAUGCAAAUCAUUCUACGUAAAGUUCUGCAAAAUAUCAAUCUGCAGCAGAAUAGAGCCAGUAAGAUUAGAUAUUCCUCUUUUCAAGUUAUCUUGCAAUGAACUUUCCCAGCUAAAUUGGUACUGUUGCUGCGGGAUCCUAUGGAUUCAA